UAUAUACUCCCUCCGUCCGAAAAUACUUGUCAUCAAAAUGAAUAAAAAGAGAUGUAUCUCGAACUAAAAUAUGUCUAUAUACAUCGCCUUUUAUUCAUUUUGAUGACAAGUAUUUCCGGACGGAGAGUACAAG
This is a non-coding RNA of Triticum aestivum (bread wheat), 133 nucleotides long. The record is from Rfam. NCBI's taxonomy places the organism in Eukaryota, Viridiplantae, Streptophyta, Magnoliopsida, Poales, Poaceae.